This 321-nucleotide unclassified non-coding RNA is filed under the name Hevea brasiliensis (rubber tree). Lineage: Eukaryota; Viridiplantae; Streptophyta; Magnoliopsida; Malpighiales; Euphorbiaceae. The record is from RNAcentral.
CACUUGUCAAAUUACACCAAAAUCCACAUUUUCAGAUAACCAAACUACGAUUAAGGACAAAACAAGUACAGUCUCCGUUCUUCUUACAAAUCGACCUCAGAAACAGCCUUACUCCCUAACGCUUCAAAAAACCCGUCUUGGAUCAACAAUCUUCAGCAAGAACCUCAAGAAUCUACCGCGAUAGAAGGAAAUCACUAUUAAUCCAGAUCCCCUAUGUAUCGUCCGAGAUCCAGAAUAAUUAAAUAUACCGGAAACCCCAAUUCAUCGACGAGGAGAGAGGACAGAAAAAGCAAUAACCAACCCCUAUCUUCUCGACUCCGG